Molecule: small nuclear RNA, 107 nt
Organism: Callithrix jacchus (white-tufted-ear marmoset)
Lineage: Eukaryota; Metazoa; Chordata; Mammalia; Primates; Cebidae
Source: Ensembl
GUGCUCACUUGGGAAGCACAUAUUCUAAAAUUGGAAUGAUACAGAGAAGAUUAGCGUGGCCCCUGCACAAGGAUGAUAUGCAAGUUUGUGAAGUAUUCCAUAUUUUU